CCUACGGGUGGCUGCAGUGGGGAAUAUUGCACAAUGGGCGCAAGCCUGAUGCAGCCAUGCCGCGUGUGUGAAGAAGGCCUUCGGGUUGUAAAGCACUUUCAGCGGGGAGGAAGGCGGCGAGGCUAAUAACCUCAUCGAUUGACGUUACCCGCAGAAGAAGCACCGGCUAACUCCGUGCCAGCAGCCGCGGUAAUACGGAGGGUGCAAGCGUUAAUCGGAAUUACUGGGCGUAAAGCGCACGCAGGCGGGCUGUCAAGUCGGAUGUGAAAUCCCCGGGCUCAACCUGGGAACUGCAUUCGAAACUGGCAGGCUAGAGUCUUGUAGAGGGGGGUAGAAUUCCAGGUGUAGCGGUGAAAUGCGUAGAGAUCUGGAGGAAUACCGGUGGCGAAGGCGGCCCCCUGGACAAAGACUGACGCUCAGGUGCGAAAGCGUGGGGAGCAAACAGGAUUAGAUACCCGAGUAGUC
RNAcentral lists this ribosomal RNA (465 nucleotides) under uncultured Klebsiella sp. Its description in RNAcentral is "bacterial SSU rRNA". It matches the Rfam family "Bacterial small subunit ribosomal RNA", at positions 338 to 795 of the family's 1533-position model. Lineage: Bacteria; Pseudomonadati; Pseudomonadota; Gammaproteobacteria; Enterobacterales; Enterobacteriaceae. The record is from RNAcentral.